AAUCAACGCUGGCGGCGUGCCUAACACAUGCAAGUCGAGCGCGAAUAGGGGGGUAACGUCCCUUACGUAGAGCGGCGAACGGGUGAGUAACGCGUGGGUGAUCUACCUUCGAGUGGGGAAGUAACACCGGGAAACUGGUGCUAAUACCGCAUGACAUCCUCGGUUCACUCCGGGGAGUCAAAGCCGGGGACCGGCAAGGCCUGGCGCUUGAAGAUGAGCCCGCGUCCGAUUAGCUAGUUGGCGGGGUAACGGCCCACCAAGGCGACGAUCGGUAGCCGGCCUGAGAGGG
Molecule: ribosomal RNA, 289 nt
Filed under: uncultured bacterium
Lineage: Bacteria
Description: partial 16S ribosomal RNA
Rfam family: Bacterial small subunit ribosomal RNA
Source: RNAcentral